RNAcentral lists this small RNA (3938 nucleotides) under Pongo abelii (Sumatran orangutan). Its description in RNAcentral is "retained intron". The record is from RNAcentral. Lineage: Eukaryota; Metazoa; Chordata; Mammalia; Primates; Hominidae.
UAUCAUUUUUCCUCUGCCUGAAGGGCUUCCUUUAACGUUUCUUAAGUUAGGGGGCAUGGUGGCUUAUGCCUGUAAUCUCAGUACUCUCAGUACUUUGGGAGAAGGCUGAGGUGGUAGGAUUGCUAGAGUCCAGGAAUUUGAGACCAGCCUGGGCAACAUAGUGAGACCCUAUUUCUACAAAAUAUUUAAAAAAAUUUCUUGUAUUGUGGGUCUGCUGGUUUUGAAUUCGUUCUGCUUGAGUAUUAAAAAUUCUUUAUUUGGCCUUCAUUUUUGAAAGAUCUUUGCCAGGUAUAGGAUUCUAGGUUGACAAUUUUUUUUCUUUCAGUACUUUUUUUUUUCUUCUUUGAGAUGGAAUCUUGCUAUGUCGCCCAGGCUGGAGUGUAGUGGUGUGAUCUCGGCUCACUGUAACCUCCACCUCCUGGGUUCAAGCGAUUCUCCUGUUUCAGCCUCCUGAGUAGCUGAGAUUACAUGUGCAUGCCACCACACCCAGCUAAUUUUUAUAUUUUUAGUAGGGAUGGGGUUUUGCCAUGUUGGCCAGGCUGGUCUCGAGCUCCUGGCUUCAAGUGAUCUGCCUGCCUCGGCCUCCCAGCUUGUUGGGAUUACAGGCAUGAGCCACUGCAUCAGCCUUCUUUCAGUACUUUUAAGAUGUUACUCCAGUGUCUCCUUUCUUGCAUUGUUUCCAGUGAGAAAACUGCUGUCAUUCUUACUUUUGUUCCUGUAUACAUAAUGUGUCAUUUUUAUUUGGCUGUUUUUAAGAUUUUAUCGCUAGUUCUAACAAUUUGACUACAAUGUGCCUUGGUGUAGUUUCUGAAUGUUUCUUUGCUUGGGGUUUUUUAAGCAUCUUAGAUCUGGGUUUUUAGUUUUUAUUAAUUUGGGGAAAAUUUUGGUCAUGAUUUCUGCAGAUAUUUUCUCUGUUCCCUUCUCUUUCCUUUGGGAACUCAAAUUAUUCCUCUAUUAAUGAAAUAAUAAAUGAAAAAAUAAAUGAAGAGCUCACUGAUGCUCUUCAUUUUUAAAGAAAUUCUUCUCUCUUUGUAUUUCACUUUAGAAAAUUUCUGUUGCUGUGUGUUCAAGUUUACUAUUAUUUUCUUCUGUAAUUUCUGAUCUAACAGCAAUCCCAUACAAUAUAAUUCUCCUUUCUAGAAGUUUGAUUUCGGGUCUUUUAAAUCUAUUCUUUCUCUCUUAACUUUUUGAACAUGUGGAAUGCAGUUUAUAACAAUAUUUUAUUUUUAUUUUAUUUUAUGAUGGAGUCUUGCCCUGUUGCCUAGGCUGGAGUGCAGUGGCGUGAUCUUGGCUUACUGCAACCUCUGCUGCCCAGGUUCCAGCGAUUCUUGUGCCGCAGCCUCCCAAGUAGCUGGGACUACAGGCGUGCGCCACCCAACCCAGCUAAUUUUUUUAUAUUUUUAGUAGAGACAGGGUUUUACCAUGUUGACCAGGCUGUUCUUGAACUCCUAACCUCAGGUGAUCCGCCUGCCUCGGCCUCCCAAAGUGCUGGGAUUACAGGCAUGAGCCACCACACCUGGCUGUAACAACAUUUUAAUGUAUUGUCUGCUAACUCUAACAUCUGUGCCAUUUCUGGGUUGACUGCCAUUAGUUGAUUCAUUUUCCUCAUUAUGGAUUGUAUUUUCCUACUCUUUUGCACGCCUGGUAAUUUUUUUUUCUUUUCCUUUCUUUUUUUUUUGAGAGAGGUUCUCACUGUGUUGCCCAGGCUGGUCUUGAACUUCUGGGCUCAAGCAAUCAUCCUGCCUCAGCUUCCCAAAGUGCUGGGAUUACAAGUGUGAGCCACCAGGUCUGUCCAGUGCCUGGUAAUUUUUUAUUGAAUGCUAGGCUUUGUGAAAUUUACCUUGUUGGGUCCAAGAUAUUUUUGUAUUCCUGUACAUUUUCUUCAGCUCAUUCAGGAAUAUCGUUAUAUGGAGAUAGUUGGAUCCUUUCAGGUCUUGUUUUUGGGGUUCUUGAGGCAGGACUGAAGCAGUCCUCCCCAUUGUGAGGCACAAGUACCUGUGUACUCUACCCACCACCCUGUGAAUCAGGAGGUUUUUCCGUCUGGCUAGUGGGAGUUGCACUAUUCCCAGUUCCGAGUGAGCAGCAGGUGCUGUUACGAAUCCUUUUGGGUGCUUCUUUCCCUGUCCUUGGUAGGCAUGUGCUGCUUAGUACUCCUCUACAUACUUGAGGACCUUCUGUAGGUCUCGAGUUCUCUCUCUGCUCUUUUCUCCAGUACUCUAUCCUGUGAACUCCAGCUGCCUUGAUCUCCCUGGACUUUCAGUUUCAUCCUCCCAACUCAUGGAGUCCUCAGGGCUCUCCAUGAGUCUCCCCUCUGUUCUGUGGCCUGCAAACUCUCAGGUGUGGUAUGCUGGGGCAGUUGAAGGGCUCAUCGCGUUUGUUUCCUGUUUCGCAGGAAUCACUGUGCUUUGUUGCCCCAUGUGCAGUGUUUUGAAAACCACUGUUUCAUAUAUUUUACCCAUUUUUUGGUUGUUUUAGGCAGGAGGGUGUAUGUGGUUCCUCUUGCUCCUUGUCAGGAAGCAGAAGUCUCAAGCUUUGCAUAUUCAAGGAAGAAAAAUAAAGAAGGGUACUGUGGACAGAGUGUAGUGAGGAGGGCUUGGGUAAGGGACCAGGCUAUGAACCCUUUAGGUCAUGGUAAGGAGUUUGGAUUUUAUUCAGAUAAUGAUCAGAAGCCUCAGAGGGUUUUGAGCAAAGGUCUGACAGGACCCGACAUCCGUUUUAAGGCAUUUUCUCUGGCUCCUGUGUGGAGAAUAGAUUGUCACUUCUUCCAGUGGGAGAGGUGGAGAUGAUGGGCAUAGUCUGGGGUGAUAGUGGUAGAUUUGCUCUUGUUCCUAGUGUAAUCCUUGAAAUUAGUGGUGAAACUGGCUGUGGAUGGCUCUUGCUUCGGAAGGCCUGGAAGUGUGAAUUAUGUACAUGAGAACUCCAGGCAUGACAUUCUUCGGGUGGGAACUGUUGUCGCAAGCUCUCUCUUGCCAGCUUCUCUGUACCAAAGUUCUUUUGGAAACUUUGAGCCUCUCUGACCUUUUGACCCUUAUGUGCAUGUGGGAGUCCUGGUCUGUGAUCCCCUGACUUGAUUCAGGGGGCCCCUUAGCUCCAUCUGUGUUCCCUGGAGUCAGCACUGUGCCACUCCCCACCCCCCCGCCCCGCCCCGCCCAAUUCUUUUCUGUCAUGGGCAGAACUGCAGAAGCUGCAUCCUUGGGGAGCUCAGAACCUCUCCAAGGCGCUGAGUGGAGGUGCCACCUGUAUCUUUUGUUUCCGAUUCUGGAGACCCUUUUGUCCCUUCCUUUUUGGGCCUGAUCCCAUUGUCCUUCACAGAAGUGAGACACCUCAGCUCUUCACCGUGUUGCCAGAGAAGAGAACAGCUACUGUUGGAGGAGCCAUGAUGGGAUCAACCCACAUUUAUGACAUGUCUACGGUUAUGAGCCGGAAGGGCCCGGCGCCUGAGCUGCAAGGUGUGGAAGUGGCGCUGGCGCCUGAAGAGUUGGAGCUGGAUCCUAUGGCCAUGACCCAGAAGUAUGAGGAGCAUGUGCGGGAGCAGCAGGCUCAAGUAGAGAAGGAGGACUUCAGCGACAUGGUGGCUGAGCAUGCUGCCAAACAGAAGGUAGGCGCUUCCAGGGGUGCUGGGCUGGGUGAGAGCCAGGGACCCUGGCCUGCCGUUUUCAGUGGCGUGGUGCCCUCUAGUGGUGAGAGUGAGGGUGGCCUCUGCUUGCUCCCUGUGCUUCCUUAGAUUUGGAAGUCUUAGAAAUCCUCCAGUGGGCUGCCCUCUUUAAGGAAGAUGAGGGGGAGGAACUCAGCCAAGUCUGAGAGGGAGCUCGAAGAGAAUCCAGAUUCAGCACCUUUCCCACAGACUUCUAUGUCUAUGUCAGGCUGCCCACCCUUGUUUUGGGGGUCUGGGGGUAGUUCAACCUGUUGUAACCUGUGUCUUUUUCUCCCUAUACAGC